Molecule: long non-coding RNA, 364 nt
Organism: Carassius carassius (crucian carp)
Lineage: Eukaryota; Metazoa; Chordata; Actinopteri; Cypriniformes; Cyprinidae
Exons: 2
Source: RefSeq, a predicted model, not a curated record
AUCUCAGUUUCAAGAAACCGACCCUAAUGACCGGUCCGGGGUCACAUGUGUGUGCCUUAAUGUACAAACAUAUCAGAGAGAGUUCAGAAGGUCUGAGAGAAAGAGAAAGAGGAAGAGGAAGAGAAAGACAGGACUGCAGUGUGAGAGAUGAUGAAGAAUUGUGGCCGUUCACAUGAAGGAUGAUAAUGUAGGGCUGCACAAUAAUGGUUCAACGUUUAAUCACGAUUAUUGGACUCAAAAAAUAUAAUCACUUAUUUGCAGUUUCAUAUAAGCACAGAUCAGCAUGGUUUGCUUGCAGAUUUCAUCUAGUCAAAUCGUGUUAAAACAUCUUUACAGUAUUAAACAGGAAAAUAGUGUCAAUAAU